Paramuricea clavata is the source of this 342-nucleotide non-coding RNA. NCBI's taxonomy places the organism in Eukaryota, Metazoa, Cnidaria, Anthozoa, Malacalcyonacea, Plexauridae. The record is from the annotation of a GenBank genome assembly.
CCUGACGUCGCCGUCUUACAUUCGUAAACUCCCUAUUCUCGACCCAUGAUCCUCGCAGCCUGUGAUCCUCGGCGCUCGAGUAUGUUUGGGCUUUCCUAGUUUCCUGUCUAUUUUUGACAAGGUGGCAGGUAGCUUAGGCAAACAUCAAAUUGUUCCAAGCGAAAUAAUUUAUUCAAGCGAAGCUGCCUGCCACUUCUUUCCCAACGGGCAACCGACAUAUUCUAAUUCAAAAUGAUGCGUGGAUCUGAAUAGUACAGCUGGAUUACAAUUUAUCACCGAAUCGACGCGUCCUUGAAAAGGUAUUUAUUAAUUAAAACAAAGCUUCAAUUCAAUAACUUGGUG